RNAcentral lists this ribosomal RNA (320 nucleotides) under uncultured bacterium. RNAcentral describes it as "bacterial SSU rRNA". It matches the Rfam family "Bacterial small subunit ribosomal RNA", at positions 32 to 342 of the family's 1533-position model. The record is from RNAcentral.
AAUCAACGCUGGCGGCGUGCCUCAGACAUGCAAGUCGAACGAUUAAAGCUCUCUUCGGAGAGUGUAUAGAGUGGCGCACGGGUGAGUAACACGUAAGUAAUCUACCUUCGAGUGGGGAAUAACACCGAGAAAUCGGUGCUAAUACCGCAUAAUGCAGCGGCAUCGCAAGAUGACAGUUGUUAAAGAAUUUAUUCGCUUGAAGAGGAGCUUGCGGCAGAUUAGCUAGUUGGUAAGGUAAUGGCUUACCAAGGCUACGAUCUGUAACCGGUCUAAGAGGACGGUCGGUCACACUGACACUGAAUAACGGGUCAGACUCCUAC